CCUACGGGAGGCUGCAGUCGAGAAUCAUUCACAAUGGGGGAAACCCUGAUGGUGCGACGCCGCGUGGGGGAAUGAAGGUCUUCGGAUUGUAAACCCCUGUCAUGUGGGAGCAAAUUAAAAAGAUAGUACCACAAGAGGAAGAGACGGCUAACUCUGUGCCAGAAGCCGCGGUAAUACAGAGGUCUCAAGCGUUGUUCGGAAUCACUGGGCGUAACGCGUGCGUAGGCUGUUUCGUAAGUCGUGUGUGAAAGGCGCGGGCUCAACCGGCGGACGGCACAUGAUACUGCGAGACUAGAGUAAUGGAGGGGGAACCGGAAUUCUCGGUGUAGCAGUGAAAUGCGUAGAUAUCGAGAGGAACACUCGUGGCGAAGGCGGGUUCCUGGACAUUAACUGACGCUGAGGCACGAAGGCCAGGGGAGCGAAAGGGAUUAGAUACCCCUGUAGUC
RNAcentral lists this ribosomal RNA (446 nucleotides) under uncultured bacterium. Its description in RNAcentral is "partial 16S ribosomal RNA". It matches the Rfam family "Bacterial small subunit ribosomal RNA", at positions 338 to 795 of the family's 1533-position model. The record is from RNAcentral.